This is a long non-coding RNA of Larimichthys crocea (large yellow croaker), 353 nucleotides long. RefSeq lists it as uncharacterized. The record is from RefSeq and is a predicted model, not a curated record. The transcript is spliced from 3 exons. Lineage: Eukaryota; Metazoa; Chordata; Actinopteri; Sciaenidae.
UGUGUGUGUGUGUGUGUGUGUGUGUCGGGGUUCAUUGAGAGAAAAGCUCGCUGUGAUCGACUUGGACGGUCAACAAUGUUUCCAUGUUCACUUGUAUCUGGCUGUGGACGUGAGGAGGCUGAACGUCAGUCUUCUUCGGUGGUUUCGGGAAGGUGUAGCGGCGGCGCUUGGCGUUCCUGCUGGACACGUGCACAUCAACCGGCUGAAUGAGGAGAAGAAUGGCAUCGAGCUCUUCGUGUCCUCUGAUAGGCUGGGAAUCUCCGAGCCCCGCCCCGCUGAAGAGGUCAUCCAAUCACUGAACGUCCGGGUCCUCCACCGACACCUGGGACACUUCGGCAUCACUGAAGUCUCCA